This 4257-nucleotide ribosomal RNA is filed under the name Triticum aestivum (bread wheat). RNAcentral's name for it is "partial small subunit ribosomal RNA". Lineage: Eukaryota; Viridiplantae; Streptophyta; Magnoliopsida; Poales; Poaceae. The record is from RNAcentral.
GCGCCUAGACCCGUACCGUCGCGCUUCACCGGCAAAGAGGCGGUGACCAGCCACCAACCUCCCCGACAUCCACGCGACCAGAAUGUGCCACUACGAACCGCUCCACCCGAUGAGCCCAGGUGACCAACCUACCAACUCCAACGGCCGCUUUCGACUUGAGGCCGUCACCGGCCUCAACAGCUACCGGCGCGGCCGUCCGGCAAAGGAACGACUUCGUCGGUCUGUACGGGUAGGCCGACCUCUCCUUAGCCGUUCGACGUCUGGCUACUUCGAUUCAUCAAAACAAUAGAAACAAACGUGUCGGUCUAUCGUGUGGAAGAACGACUAAUGAAGAAGGGCAUGUGAGUGCACUUUGUUGUAUCUAAGUGAUUAACUAAAACCGGUCUACGCGAUUAUGUCUUUCAAUCGAACUAAUCAAUUAGAAGUCGAUCUACUCGCGUGUGUACAUUGCGUGUCUUGCGCGUUUGUGCCCUUUUAGAUAACCUACCGUUAUCCACACACUGCGUGGAUACAAAAAUAACAAAACUAGACCACUUCAAGUUUCCCCAAGAAUAAAAGUAUUCCGGUUUACUACAAGUAGUCACGCAACCUAUGGAAAGGAGAAAAAACGAUACAUACAAAAGUACUAUAAAGAGAACAGGAAAUGUAUUUGAUAGAAAGAUAAUGGGGAGCCUACUGAGGGUUUACAACAUCAAGUAGACAGUUUUUUCCACGAAACGGACUAUUAUUAAAAAAACAAUAUAAACAAUUUAUCAUGUGACGUUGUAACUAACACGAUCCGCACUACCUUCGCACUACGAGCGUCUGUGAACAGUUCUACGCCUUCCUACCCUUGUGUCACCACCCCUUGAACCCAUAUACUUACUAUAUGUACUAGUCUUAUACGUACGGUGUAAUCCAACUGUACCUCACCUCUCCUCGGUUCCAUCCCCACCACUUCUCUCAGUAACCUUCUUGUUUCUUAUUCCAUAAAUCGCCCUUUAUUCCGUUUUUUAGUCAACCUGUGUAUUGCAAAUCGUUUUUACUCGAGUGGUAAAAACUCACAAAUGAUGUAGGACCAGUAGAUGUUCAUGAUGUUCUGUAGUAUACAUUGAUGUUGGAAGGAGAAGUUGUACAGCAAAUAAAACGCCCACAGUACAGAGAAUAAAAACGCCCAUCGUCAAUACAACUUCUGUUAAGAAAUAAAGAAAACAUUCCACUUUAUGUUCGUACAAUUAAUAACAUACUACAUCUAAAUAUAUCUCUCUCACCAAUGAUGGAAAAAAGGUAAGAUAGGUUUUUUGCCUAACCCAAGAUGGUAGUUUUCGCUAUCGCCUAUUUUUGUUCUUUUUAGUUGGUCCUCUCUCCCUCCUCAACCGGCCGUACCCCAGUACUCACCAUGUUUGUCCUUCUACGUGCGGGUACCAAAACCUUUCGAUCCUCAGUAACUACUGUCCAUGCCUUCAACCGCCUGUGGAUGUUCCUACACCUCCACUCGUAGUACCACUACGCCGUGUUGGAGCCCCGCCGCGACCGGUGGGACUUGUGCAAGCUUUAGAAACUCUUACCGGUCAGUACCGCAAACGCAAACAAUCCGGCGCGCACCCGCCACGGUCGAAAUUCUUCGCCAAGGCGCAGAUGGUGCGGGAGGCACAGGCGUAGCGGGCCCUGUAGUACAGGUCCAUGAGCUUCGACAACAUGGUGUGGUACCCCAGGCUCAACCGGUAGCUGUAGCCGUGCAGCGGUAUGGACUCCCGCAGCGACAGGCCAAAUAAAAACGACAAGCCUAGGGCGUUCCACUCAACUUAGUUAGAACAUGCGGAAUCCGCUACGGGGUCGAAAAAACUAUAGGCAGCUGUACUAAGGAGUGUAUAUUUGGUACGUCGUCGGUACCUGUUGGAAGUAGAUUUCUUCGAUAACAAACGAGGCCACCUAAACUAAAACAGAAAGGAGAAAAGAUACCAACACUCGUUACUUUAGGUUAAACGUAGAGGGAUGUACUAGUUCCGAUGCCACACUUAAUACUGGUAGGCAGCCUACUCCUGUGCUAACACCGUCCCUACAACCACCGUACUUCAACAUAUCAUCGUCCUACCAGAUUUGAGUCGGUGAACUCUAAACUCGAUGAAAAACCAGUAAAAGAUGAGUUAAGAUCUCAAGAUAACGUAAUAGUAUUAAAAAGUAUAGAGUCAUUUCACCUACAAAAAAUCCAAUUAUCAUUUCACGUACAGUCAUGGAGGUUUUCCUAAAAAAAAGUACUUUUAACAAAAAAGGACUACCAUUAGUAAAAGUAUGUUUGACGAUAUCAACGAACGGGAAAACCGUCGUAAACGAGUCUUCGAACUGACGGCUCUGAUCUGAUCUGAUCGAACUAAAAGAACUAUGUAGAUUUAUAAGGUUACACUAUACAAUUUUUAUGUCCCUCCUAUAAACAAACCGAAUACUCCUCUAAAACCAAUUGGUUGCAACUACGAAAGUGAGCGAGUGGUACAAGUAAACCAGACCUAAUGAAGAGAUUGUAAAAUUUUUAACGAUGACAGUUCAAAGUCAACCGCGCCCACAUAUCGUCUCCAUAUAUACACUAUUCCACGACACUAGUACUCUUUUUCAUUCCUUGACGUGUAGACCCGGAGUGUAAUUAAUGUUUACAAGUCACCGAAUGUUUCCCAUGUAAAAUGGAACAAACUUAAAGCUUCUAAAUCCGGUAUAUGUAACCAUACACUCUGCAACACAGAAGGGUAUCUCUAUGGUAGAUCUAAAAAUAAAAUAAAACCUCAACCUUCUUCCUACUUAUUCUACCUUCCUACGGGGAAUUAGGCAUUCUCUUAUGUAAAUCCAGUUUUAUAUUAAGACACCGACUUGAAAAUGUGACCAGUCCGAAUCCAAACCCGACUCGUUUAUCAAAUUAACCACAAUUACUCGGGUUGUUUACGUUCAAGUAGCUAAAGAGUACUAUACGAAAACUAGAAAUGGUUUUAUACGUAAUAUGGUAUAAGUAUACAAGCAAAGGAUACAGUCCAUACAGCAUGUCUCCCCUAGUUCGACAUAUAACGAUACACCUUACGAAACUAAGCUCCACGACAGCCCAACCCUCGUACUUUGUACGAGACAUCAAGAAACCAAGUUACGUCCUCCUUCCCUACAUGUAUCUGGGCUUCUAGAAAUAAUUCUAGUAGGUGCCCAACACCUUCGGUCCCCUCACUCUAAUUUAGUUCUUCAAAAAACUGUUUUACUCCUAAGUUACCGAGUUCCUCUCAUUCGGGGUUCGAUCUAGUAAUAACUAAAGGAAAUCAUCCUACAGUGUAUUAAGUAAAUCUCACCUCGUCCUUAUAAGUUUUUCCUUUACAUGUGGUAUAUAUAAUCAUAUUAUGUAGACUGUGAAAGAGUAGAAAGUGAUUAUCGUGUAACUAGUAUGGUAAACGUGUCGAGUAAGGCCACAUUCAGCCCGGUUAAAUCUUUUAUAAAAUUUCGACUAAGUAUGUCCAAUAUCUUCAGCCUCAGUUUGUCGUAUUAUUCUAUAAACAAGCACGUAUUAAAGACUAAGCAAACAGAAGAUUCCUAUUUACCCUGACGAUAGAUCUGACAUGGAAUUUUUGAUAAUCUGGGACGAAUAUUGAUAAAAAGUAGAACCGCACUAAAUAUUCCCUCCGGUGCGGUAAACAAAAACAAUAGUGUCCGGCACUACUGGGACUAAGUAACUACAUAUCACAACAUACACCAGUUAAUGGAUUCUGUCAUCAGUGUGAAGAGGACUAAACGGAACUAGACUUUAGACUGAAAACAUAACCAACAUCAGUUAGACUUAUAAUCACUCCAUGAAAAGGUUAACAGUAACAAGUCAAGAGAUGUAAUAGUACGUAAAAGAAACGAAAUUUCUACAGUACUACAAGCGGUACCGUCUCUUUUUUACAAAACUUCAACAAGGAAUCAUACGAAACCACACGGAUACGUGUGUACUUUUGUUUUCCAGCUCUCCAAAUUUUUACAGUACAAAAAAUGGUAACGUCUAUAGGACGAAGACCAUGAACGGAAGAUGGAGUGUUACAAUUGUGUUUUCAAUGAUAUAGACAUUCUGUACGGGAGAGAGCAAAUUACUACAGGACUUUAAAGGUGUAUUUUGAACCAUUAGUACGGUUCAUUAGUACGAUUAAAACUCUCUUCAAGUUCACCGUACGGGGGUAAACGGUACCAACGCUACAUGAUUAUUCGACGUCCUGAUUAAAAAAAUAAUAACCUGACUAUAAGAUUUCAAUGUAUACAUUCUCGUAUACUAUAAAG